AGGGUUUGAUUUAGGAUUUAGAUAGGAUUUGAUUUAGGAUUUAAGAUUUGAUUAGGGUUUGAUUAGGGUUUUAUAUAGGAUUUGGAUUAGGAUUUUAUUUAGGAUUUGAAUUAGGAUUUGAUUUAGGAUUUAAGAUUUGGAUUAGGAUUUGGUUAGGGUUUGAUUUAGAAUUUAGGGUUUGGUUUAGGAUUUGGUUAGGAUUUGGUUAGGGUUUGAUUUAGGAUUUGGUUUAGGAUUUGAUUGGGAUUUGAUUUAAGAUUUAUUUACGGUUUGAUUUAGAGUUUAGGAUUUUAUUAGGAUUUAAGAUUUAAUUAGGUUUGGCCUAAAGUUUGAAUGAAGCUCAAUAGGAUUUUAACUAGAAUUAAAUUAAGAUUGAAUUGAGAUGUAUUUGAGUGAUAUUUGUGAUCCUUCUAAUAUUUUUUUAAGAAUUCUUAUUAUUUGUUUGAAAUUUCUUGAGAUUUUUUUUAAUUUAAU
Molecule: long non-coding RNA, 474 nt
Filed under: Physcomitrium patens
Lineage: Eukaryota; Viridiplantae; Streptophyta; Bryopsida; Funariales; Funariaceae
Description: long non-coding RNA (PPAT_LNC010007)
Source: RNAcentral